AGCACUGCGCGCGCACCUCCAAGCUUUUCCUAUCCGUUCUAACCAGCCGUUCCGUGUACCGACCAGGCCGUGCCGAGUGCAACUAUCCACAGCACUAGCGAGCUCAGCUAGCAAGUAAUCUGGUUUCUACUGUACGUCAACUUGCCUACUGCAGCUCCAACCUUGAUCCGGUCGGUGGCUUCCUUUCAAUAUAUUCCAUUUUACUUGUGUACUUGUUUUCACCGGUCCUAUGGAACAUGAGCAUUGGAGGAACAGAGAAAUACCACGGAGAACUUUCGCCAUUAUAACUGUUGUGCUAGCCAAGACUUGAAUGCGGGACCUACAGCAACUAAGCUGAAGUGCUAACUAUCGUUGCGAACCUUAUUGUCGUAACAGAUUGAUUUCUGGACAAAUACAAUUAAACCUGAAAGUUUCUAUUUCAUUAAAUAAUCUUACGAAAACAG
Zootermopsis nevadensis is the source of this 443-nucleotide long non-coding RNA. RefSeq lists it as uncharacterized. The record is from RefSeq and is a predicted model, not a curated record. Lineage: Eukaryota; Metazoa; Arthropoda; Insecta; Blattodea; Termopsidae.